This 514-nucleotide ribosomal RNA is filed under the name Mycobacterium neglectum. RNAcentral's name for it is "16S ribosomal RNA". It matches the Rfam family "Bacterial small subunit ribosomal RNA", at positions 65 to 595 of the family's 1533-position model. Lineage: Bacteria; Bacillati; Actinomycetota; Actinomycetes; Mycobacteriales; Mycobacteriaceae. The record is from RNAcentral.
AACGGAAAGGCCCUUCGGGGUACUCGAGUGGCGAACGGGUGAGUAACACGUGGGUGAUCUGCCCUGCACUUUGGGAUAAGCCUGGGAAACUGGGUCUAAUACCGGAUAUACCUCAUGGACUGCAUGGUUUGUGGGGGAAAGCUUUUGCGGUGUGGGAUGGGCCCGCGGCCUAUCAGCUUGUUGGUGAGGUUAUGGCUUACCAAGGCGACGACGGGUAGCCGGCCUGAGAGGGUGACCGGCCACACUGGGACUGAGAUACGGCCCAGACUCCUACGGGAGGCAGCAGUGGGGAAUAUUGCACAAUGGGCGCAAGCCUGAUGCAGCGACGCCGCGUGAGGGAUGACGGCCUUCGGGUUGUAAACCUCUUUCAGCAGGGACGAAGCGCAAGUGACGGUACCUGUAGAAGAAGGACCGGCCAACUACGUGCCAGCAGCCGCGGUAAUACGUAGGGUCCGAGCGUUGUCCGGAAUUACUGGGCGUAAAGAGCUCGUAGGUGGUUUGUCGCGUUGUUCGU